RNAcentral lists this non-coding RNA (60 nucleotides) under Blattella germanica (German cockroach). The record is from RNAcentral. Lineage: Eukaryota; Metazoa; Arthropoda; Insecta; Blattodea; Blattellidae.
UACAUAACCGCAACCACCGACUGUGAUGUUAAGUGUAGUCGGUGGUUGCGGUUGUGUGGA